AUCCAAGGUUAUUCCCUCUUCCUACUAAUGCCUCUCUUUAGGAAAGUAGCAACUUGGAAUAAAAUCUGGCAAACCUCGGGUUUCUGAGGGAAAGGGAUGUUUAUUUCCUUUGCUUUCCUUUGUGAACAUGU
Molecule: small nucleolar RNA, 131 nt
Organism: Cervus hanglu yarkandensis (Yarkand deer)
Lineage: Eukaryota; Metazoa; Chordata; Mammalia; Artiodactyla; Cervidae
Source: Ensembl